This 458-nucleotide ribosomal RNA is filed under the name uncultured bacterium. RNAcentral describes it as "SSU rRNA". It matches the Rfam family "Bacterial small subunit ribosomal RNA", at positions 26 to 518 of the family's 1533-position model. The record is from RNAcentral.
AGAACGAACGCUGGCGGCAUGCCUAACACAUGCAAGUCGAACGCUUUUGGGGCUUCGGUCCCAAAGGAGUGGCGCACGGGUGAGUAGCGCGUGGGAACCUGCCCUGGAGUGGGGGAUAACCGAGGGAAACUUCGGCUAAUACCGCAUACGCCGGGAAACCGGGAAAGAUUUAUCGCUCUAGGAGGGGCCCGCGUCGGAUUAGGUAGUUGGUGGGGUAACGGCCUACCAAGCCUUUGAUCCGUAGCUGGUCUGAGAGGAUGAUCAGCCACACUGGGACUGAGACACGGCCCAGACUCCUACGGGAGGCAGCAGUGGGGAAUAUUGGACAAUGGGCGCAAGCCUGAUCCAGCAAUGCCGCGUGAGUGAUGAAGGCCUUCGGGUUGUAAAGCUCUUUCGCACGCGAGGAUGAUGACGCUAGCGUGAGAAGAAGCCCCGGCUAACUUCGUGCCAGCAGCCGC